GAUGAACGCUGGCGGCGUGCCUAAUACAUGCAAGUCGAGCGAACAGACGAGGAGCUUGCUCCUCUGACGUUAGCGGCGGACGGGUGAGUAACACGUGGAUAACCUACCUAUAAGACUGGGAUAACUUCGGGAAACCGGAGCUAAUACCGGAUAAUAUAUUGAACCGCAUGGUUCAAUAGUGAAAGACGGUUUUGCUGUCACUUAUAGCUGGAUCCGCGCCGCAUUAGCUAGUUGGUAAGGCAACGGCUUACCAAGGCAACGAUGCGUAGCCGACCUGAGAGGGUGAUCGGCCACACUGGAACUGAGACACGGUCCAGACUCCUACGGGAGGCAGCAGUAGGGAAUCUUCCGCAAUGGGCGAAAGCCUGACGGAGCAACGCCGCGUGAGUGAUGAAGGUCUUCGGAUCGUAAAACUCUGUUAUUAGGGAAGAACAAAUGUGUAAGUAACUAUGCACGUCUUGACGGUACCUAAUCAGAAAGCCACGGCUAACUACGUG
This 497-nucleotide ribosomal RNA is filed under the name uncultured bacterium. RNAcentral describes it as "partial 16S ribosomal RNA". It matches the Rfam family "Bacterial small subunit ribosomal RNA", at positions 28 to 507 of the family's 1533-position model. The record is from RNAcentral.